Molecule: transfer RNA, 70 nt
Filed under: Yunnanilus jinxiensis
Lineage: Eukaryota; Metazoa; Chordata; Actinopteri; Cypriniformes; Nemacheilidae
Also listed under: 1 other name
Description: tRNA-Gly
Source: RNAcentral
AUCUUUCUAGUAUUCAAAUAGUACGGGUGACUUCCAAUCACUUAGUCUUGGUUAACCCCAGGGAAAGAUA